Long non-coding RNA from Chelonia mydas (Green sea turtle), 3145 nucleotides. RefSeq lists it as uncharacterized. The record is from RefSeq and is a predicted model, not a curated record. Lineage: Eukaryota; Metazoa; Chordata; Testudines; Cheloniidae. The transcript has 4 exons.
GCGGAGGCUGGAGGGGGCCCGCGCCGCCAGCUCCGGCGACAGGCAGCCUCCGUCUCCCACUUGCGUGCGUGGACAGGGCCUGGACCAAAACAAUCCGCAGCGGAAUUACAGCCGUACACAUGGCUUCGUUAUGCAAAGAGUGAUCAUUACUUUGGGGUCUUGGAUGUGAAGAAUGUGUGGGGGGGCCCCAAGCCCUUUUUUCAACAGGUUUAAACCUAUAAAUAAGGACAGAAAACUGGACAAGGCUGUUAAAGAAACACCGCUGAUACAAGACUUUGGCAUCAUGGGAAGCAACGACAUGACUUAUCAAGUGUUAUCCCUGAAGAAGAAACGUUGAAGGGGACCAAGAAAUUUCCCUCUGAAUCAGCGACAGCUGGAAGCAAGGGUAUUAGACACUUCGAUUUGGAGCAGCCCAGCACAUCCAAUUCCACUGUUACACAGAACCAACUGUCUUUAAAGAGGGCCAAAAAAUCUACCACUGAAACAGCAGCGGUUGGGAGCAAGGGGGUUAGACCCCCCCGAUUUUGAACCGCCCUGCACCACCAGGGCCAAAAGAUCUACCUCUGCAGCUUCCAGGGACACUGGUUAAGCGAUCCAAAGGGAUUAAAACCCCUAGUUCUCAACAACCCCAAGCCUUUACAGCCCCGAAGGAACCAGCUUUAAAAAGGGUAAAGGCAAACAAUCCUGUAGCAGCCGCUGUGUCGAGCGGUGGGUUUGAGCAGAGUCAAGAGGCCAGCCCCCCGGCUUCUGGGCAAAGCAGAACCUCUGCUACAAAUAAGAACCGCCCCGUAGGCCUUGCAGCAUCAGUUGUUGUUUGUAAUGAGCUGUUUAGUGUUUGUACGUCUCCUAAGCGUUUAAUAGAUAAAAAGUUUUCGAAGCUAAUUCUUGAGGUGUUUCAAAAGCAAAAUGCUCCAGAAGAAAGGGUGGUUUGGGACCAAAAGAUAACAGAGACCCGUGCACUGCUUGAAAAGUUGGAAAGCAUGUUAAAGGGGGAAGGGAGGGUGAGACUAAACCUGAAACCUAAAAACAUAAAGAGGGGUUGGAGGAAAAAAUGGAAGAGAUCUAAAAAAUUGAGGAGGCUUUUGGCGAAAAAACUUAAAAAAGCCAGAGUUAUUUUAAGAAAACAAUCCCCCAACCAAGAAAGGGAAAUAGACAUAGACUCCCCGACCCCCUCUUCUGAAGGUCCAGAUUCUCCCGCUCCUAAUAUACCACCUCCGGUGUAUUUGGAACAUGUAAGACACUGGAUAAGACCCUGAAGAGAGUUUAACGCUUAUGAAUAUUUUCAAGAAUUUUGUUUCGCUAAUUUGGGCAGAGUAAUGGGGUUUACAGAGGCCAUGGCGGCCGUUGACACCGCUAUUCAAAAUUUGCUAGGUGAUAUUAAUAAUCAGGUGGGCCCUGAAGAUUUUGUACAGCUAAGCUUAGAUGCCCCGGGGCUAAAUCACCCUCUCUUUUCUUUACAGAAGCCUUGGGAAGAUUUAAACACCGUAGAUUUUUUAAAUAACAUCAUUACGGUGUUGCAAAGUAACGCUGAGAUUGUGGGGUCUGGAACUCUAAGGCUGGUUGUUACAAUUAUUAGAAACAGGGCUGGUGGAGGUGGGGUUGUAAGACCCUUGAAAACUAUCACAUACAGUAAAAUCAUCGGGAAAAAAAGAAAACAUUUAAUUGAUUUAAAUAACCAAGGUAACAAUCUGUGUUUUGCUGGGUCUUUUAUCAGAUGAAAAACUUACAGAUGCCCAACUGUUAGAAGGGGCCGGACAUUUCCAUCAGGAGUUGGGGUUUUCGGACCAAAAACCGAUUAGCUUUACAGACAUGAGCUCUUUUGAAGAGCGCUUAGGCGCGGCUAUUACCGUUAUGUAUCAUGAAAAUGGAAAUUGGCGCUUUUUUUACAACAGCUGGUGUACAACGCCCCAAAACUGUUUUUGUUCUGUUACAUGACAAACAUUAUUGUGGCAUCCUAAAUAUUAAAGCCUUUAUAGGCGCGCCGUAUUUGUGCAGUUGCUGUUACGCCACGUGCAGCCACAAACAUCAGCACGCCUGUAAAAAUCACUGUCAUGUGUGUAAUAGCGCUGAGUGCCUUGAAGUGGCCACUGAAAAAAAGAGAUGCCCCAGUUGCAAGCUAUUUUGCAGGUCUGAGGCCUGUUUAGAAAGGCACAGCGCUCUGGCAAAAGAUCGUAAAGUUGAUUGUAAAAACAAAAGUCUUUGUGAUAAGUGCGGCUUCUACGAGGUUAAAAAUCACAGGUGUAAAAGCAAAAAAUGUCCCCAGUGCUAUCAGAAGACCGACAACAUAGAGGGUCACGAAUGUUCUAUGCGUAAUAUUUGGUCUCCAGAAGUGGGGAAGGAUUAUGUGUUUUAUGAUUUUGAAUGCAUGCAAGAAAUGGGGGUACACGUGCCAAAGUCUGUUUAUGCCUUGCACCUAGAUAAAGAAACCAGCUGGGAAUUUAAGGGUAAGAAUGCAUUGAGUUUGUUCAAACCUUUGCAGACAAACGUUUUAAGGGAUACACAUUUAUCACUCAUAACGCUAAAGGUUACGAUUGUUAUUUUAUCCUUAGACAGUUGAUUAAAGAAAAAAAUGGCCUUCAGCCCCAUAACGCAAGGGGGGAAACUAAUGUGCGUAACGGUGGUGGACUUAGUCAUCAGAUUUAUAGGUUCUUUAAAUUUUCUUCUCAUGAAACUUAAGAAGUUACCCAAAGCUAUGGGGUUUGAGGAAGUCAAGGGGUACUUUCCACAAUUUUUUAACACAGUUGAAAAUCAGAACUAUGUAGGGCCUAUGCCCGGGAUAAAGUACUUUGGAGUAGAAUACAUGAUGCCUGAAGAAAAAAGGAAUUUCUGAACUGGUACCAACACAAUCGCCAGAACAAAUUCGAUCUCCAGAAAGAACUGCGCUAUUAUUGUCAAAAAGAUGUUGAAAUUUUGCAAGAGGCUUGCGACCGGUUCAGAAAUGAAGUCAUAAAAAUGACAGAGAAGCAGAUUGUUAAAAGCCCAGGACAGGAUGAUGAGGAGGUAGUCACUGAGUGUAUAGACCCCUUUCAGUACCAUACGUUAGCCUCGAUUUGCAUGGCCAUGUACCGGUUUAAUUUUUUUAAAACCGCGAAUGAUAGCCCUUCUGCCAUUCUGCUGUUGCAAACCGAAUCUCCGCUUUUAGGUU